AAGUCGUAACAAGGUUUUUGUAGGUAAACCUGCAGAAGGAUUACUACCUUUCUAGCUAUUUAAUAGCUUGUCUGAGGGCUGCAGUUUCUGCAGUCUCUGACUACAUCCGUGUUUUUUGCGUACUACAUGUUUCCUUGGCGGGCUUGCUUGCUAGUUGGACAAACUAAAACUCUUUGUAAUUGCAAUCAGCGUCUGAAUUAUAUAAUAAUUACAA
Molecule: unclassified non-coding RNA, 214 nt
Filed under: plant metagenome
Description: partial contains small subunit ribosomal RNA and internal transcribed spacer 1
Rfam family: Eukaryotic small subunit ribosomal RNA (bases 1-46)
Source: RNAcentral